Paramacrobiotus metropolitanus is the source of this 3140-nucleotide RNA transcript. It is a transcript of the gene named WW domain-binding protein 4-like, with no coding region annotated. Lineage: Eukaryota; Metazoa; Tardigrada; Eutardigrada; Parachela; Macrobiotidae. The record is from RefSeq and is a predicted model, not a curated record. The transcript is spliced from 9 exons.
UAUUCCUGCAAAGUGGUCUAAUUUGAAACUCAAAAUUUGUAUAAGUCCUAAUAAGUGUAAGCACUAAGCAGUAAGUAAGUAAACUCUUCAUAACGUUGUUAAACCAAUGUCUUGACGAUUUUAUGAAUUUUUGUCAUUUAUAAUAAUUAUUGUCUUUUUAUUUUGGAUUUUGGGGUAUCGCGUAUCAACUCAGCACCAUUUUUGCCCGUAUUCGAACAUCUGACUGAACUCGAAGAAUGACGGAAUACUGGAAGUCUUUGCCAAAGAAAUUUUGUGAUGCUUGCAAAUGCUGGUUCGCUGAUAACAAAGCCAGCAUUGAAUUUCACGAACGCGGUGUGCGACACAAGCAAAAUGUGGAGAUACGCAUUCGCGAAGCACAGAAAAAGGGCAAAAGCAGACAAGAUACAACAACCGCCACCGAUGAUGAGAUGCGACGGAUUGAAGCAGCGGCGUUGAAAUCGUUUGAAAAAGAUGUUCUUGCCAACCCGUCCUUGUCGGGCCAGUAUUCCUCGGCUGCAGCCAAGCUGAUGAGCACUCAACCUUCCACUGCGUUGUCGUCCUCCGACGCGCCCAGUAAACCGCCACCGGCGCCAUCCGCAUCAUCAGCCGCAGCCAAAGCCGAAGCUCAAGCUAAAGGAGAAGCGAUGCGACGCAUGAAGGGCCAGGAGAAGGCGUUGGAAGCCGUCACAUCUUUCCAGAAAAAGCAGGUUCAGGAGAAGGCUGCCAAAAAGUGGAAAGAAAUGAAGUCCGAAGACGGAUAUUCGUUUUUUAUUCACCAGGAUACGAUGGAUUCGCGCUGGGAUCCCCCGCCCGAGGGGUAUGUUUCUCUAGCGGAACAAAUGGAAGCCGAUGGUGAAACGACGGAUGCUGUACCGGCAAUGCGUACUAAGCCGCUUCUUCCUCUGCUCGGGGCCACCUCGUCAAUCGGCUCCUGGACGACAGUGGAAGCUAAUAUCUCGGAGCCAGCUUACGUAUUCCCCACAUCAUCCAAGGUUAGUCCCUCCGAUGAGAUGCAUAACAAAGCCGCUGAACAGGAUAAGGUAAAAAUGGAGCUGAAGACGAAAACAGUGACGUCGCUCGAGGAUGUGGAAGGCUGUGGCUCAUUUAAAAAAAGAAAGGUCAUGGGAGAUGGAAAGCGGCAAGUCAGACGAAGAGAAGCUGAAGACUAACUUUUGCGAAUCGGUAUCCUGUGAUAAACACUGCAAGUGGAAAUCAAACCUGAACAGGAAACUACUUUUUUACAAUAGUACGUUGUUGUCUGAAUCUCUCACGACCUAAUUGCAGCUCUGCAUCAUAUAACGAUGCGAUGGUGUUUUAUGCCAUUGAAUACAGACUGUGGAAGACAAAUUGCCUUCAAUUUAAAAGCGUCUGACACUUACAAGAGUUACAGUAUAUCCCAACAAACUUGUACAUAUCUUAGUUUAACUGAAGUGGAAAUAACAAAGACUUACAAAACUGAGUGUUCUGCAAUUGUUCAAGCAUAGCAAUAUUCCAGGUUACAAAAUGUGCGGUAAAACUGGAAUAAAAGAAGAAUCGAAAGCUGCCUGCAUCCGAAGUUACACCGUCUAGGAACUCUUUGUCAGUUAGGAACUUGUGUAUAGGAACUUAAUCUUUCCACUGCACUAACGAGAUCAAUUACUUGCACUCCCUUGGGCAGGAACUUCGAAUAUGGAGAACUAGGAACACCGAUCACAACUACUGCUUGCCCUGGCCGAGAAAAAAACCUCCACAAUCCUUUAUGACUUCCACGCUGGUCCAGAUCCCAAAUCUUCAAACACCGGCAAAAUUCUAACCAGGUCUUAAAAUCGGAAGAGUUAUCCAUUCGAAUAAAAACCGAUAAAGUUUUAUCAGAAACAGCAGGAAAAAAGUCCGGUCGACAGGGCGAAACCGAAUGAUUGACAGGAACUGCAACGGAUAAGAGAUCACGAAGCUUCCGUUCAUAACCGUUUUCGGUUAAAUCCGUCAGAUGUAAAUCCUUGAGAGGCCCCUUGUAUACGGCAUGUCGCUCGAAAUAAAUGGUCUGAAAGAUGGGAUUCAUGUUCAAGCCGCUUGCUCCAAAAUGCAUUCAGCCCAUCAUGAUGCACAAAUAAAUGCGCCACUAAGAGGAGACCGCAUCCACAUGUCCCAGUCCCAAUUAAAAUUCGGUGAAGGCCAAUUCAGCUGUAAUUCAUCCACGAAUAACUUGCGCGGUAUAACCCAACCCAAACCAGGCAUAGUUUCCACUCGGUACAACAACUGCGGAUCACCUACUGAGUGCUCGUAACCCAGAUCAUUCCAUGCUGAAAUACAGUACAAGCUCGCAUCUUCCCUUAACAACGGUACAGUCUGGACGACAAAAUGAAAGAAAUCUGGGCUAACUUCCAAGUCUUCCUCCAGAACAAUAGCAUAUUCUGCCAGCGGGUGCCGGGCAAACAUUGUGGUCAAACUGGAUUUAUAAUGCUGCGAGAUACGAGCAUUACCGUGACCACCAGGGAUAUGCUGCACGGCAGAAAGCCCAUACAAACGAGCCACUCUGGCUGGCUCAUCCCAUAAACCAUCGAUAAAAAUCGUUAUCAGCCGCGGAUCAACACCCGCAGUACUCAGUAGCGUCCGAAGCAUGGUGUUCAGAUAAAACGGACGAUUACCAGCAAUAAUUCCUACGGGAAUCAUCGACCGCCCUUUUUCAACAAAUGCUCUCUCCGGAAGCGGGCUGGGGAAGAAUGUUACCGGCUCCGGAUUAUCACAGUGGCAAAUUUCCGGAUAUCCAUCAGUGUGCUCGCAAAAUUCUCGUAACCUUUUAACGGAUCUACCGGAACAAUUCCAGCGUACUAUUAUCGGAUCCAACUCCAUAACGUAGUCUAGCGUAACCGGCAAUGCCCACGUGGAGAACGAUGGUGCCUUCGUAAAGGAUUCUCCCAGGCGGAUGAAACCAUGCAGUACUUUGACAGCAAUAAAAAUCCACAUGUCGCGCCACUGCAGAUUUCCCGCGUAACUUGAACCCCACGCCGCGAAUAGUUUUCGUGCUGCAUUCCCAAAGUGGAAAGAGCUGAAGUGCAAUAGAAGCAUUAAGCAGAAGCGUCUAGUUUGCAUAAGUGCUUAAAACACUGAAUUCAAUCACUCCUGUUUACUAAGUAGUGUCUAGGGCUACCAUAUGGUAUCUG